GGCUCAGGACGAACGCUGGCGGCGUGCCUAACACAUGCAAGUCGAGCGAAGAGGAGGGAGCUUGCUCCUGAAUCUUAGCGGCGGACGGGUGAGUAACGCGUGAGCAACCUGCCUUUUACUGGGGGAUAACGCAUCGAAAGAUGUGCUAAUACCGCGUAAGACCACAGCAUCGCAUGGUGCAGGGGUCAAAGGAGCAAUCCGGUAAAAGAUGGGCUCGCGUCCGAUUAGCUAGUUGGUGAGAUAACAGCCCACCAAGGCGACGAUCGAUAGCCGACCUGAGAGGGUGAUCGGCCACAUUGGAACUGAGACACGGUCCAGACUCCUACGGGAGGCAGCAGUGGGGAAUAUUGGGCAAUGGGCGAAAGCCUGACCCAGCAACGCCGCGUGAGGGAAGAAGGGUUUCAGCUCGUAAACCUCUGUCCUAUGGGACGAAGAAGUGACGGUACCAUAGGAGGAAGCCCCGGCUAACUACGUGCCAGCAGCCGCGGUAAUACGUAGGGGGCGAGCGUUGUCCGGAAUGAUUGGGCGUAAAGGGCGCGUAGGCGGCCCGUUAAGUCUGGAGUGAAAGUCCUGCUUUCAAGGUGGGAAUUGCUUUGGAUACUGAUGGGCUCGAGUGCAGGAGAGGAAAGCGGAAUUACCGGUGUAGCGGUGAAAUGCGUAGAGAUCGGUAGGAACACCAGUGGCGAAGGCGGCUUUCUGGACUGAAACUGACGCUGAGGCGCGAAAGCGUGGGGAGCAAACAGGAUUAGAUACCCUGGUAGUCCACGCGGUAAACGAUGAGUGCUAGGUGUUGGAGGUAUCGACCCCCUUCAGGUGCCGCAGAAAACACAAUAAGCACUCGGCAUGGAAAGUAGGGCGCCAAGGUUGAAACUCAAAGGAAUUGACGGGGGCCCGCACAAGCAGCGGAGCAUGUUGGUUUAAUUGGAAGCAACGAGAAGAACCUUGCCAAAUCUUGACAUCCCUCUGACCGGUCCUUAACCGGGCCUUUCCUUCGGGACAGAGGUGACAGGUGGUGCAUGGUUGUCGUCAGCUCGUGUCGUGAGAUGUUGGGUUAAGUCCCGCAACGAGCGCAACCCUUAUCUUCAGUAGCCAGCAUUUCGGAUGGGCACUCUGGAGAGACUGCCAGGGAUAACCUGGAGGAAGGUGGGGAUGACGUCAAAUCAUCAUGCCCCUUAUGAUUUGGGCUACACACGUGCUACAAUGGCGGAAACAAAGGGAAGCGAACCUGUGAGGGGAAGCAAAUCUCAAAAAUACCGUCCCAGUUCGGACUGUAGUCUGCAACUCGACUACACGAAGCUGGAAUCACUAGUAAUCGCGAAUCAGCAUGUCGCGGUGAAUAC
RNAcentral lists this ribosomal RNA (1340 nucleotides) under uncultured bacterium. RNAcentral's name for it is "bacterial SSU rRNA". It matches the Rfam family "Bacterial small subunit ribosomal RNA", at positions 21 to 1369 of the family's 1533-position model. The record is from RNAcentral.